CCUGCCCCUAGAGGCGUUGCAGGUGUGGCUGCUGUGUCACAUGUGUGUCAGUAGGUGGCAGAGAGGAAAGAGGCUAUGUCUACGCUCAGUGUUCUGACCUGUGAACAUCUGAAUGAUUAGUAGCCUAACAUUC
Mus spicilegus (steppe mouse) is the source of this 133-nucleotide small nucleolar RNA. Lineage: Eukaryota; Metazoa; Chordata; Mammalia; Rodentia; Muridae. The record is from Ensembl.